CCGACCUUAGCUCAGUUGGUAGAGCGGAGGACUGUAGUAGGGUCUAUCCAACAGCAUAUCCUUAGGUCGCUGGUUCGAAUCCGGCAGGUCGGA
Molecule: transfer RNA, 93 nt
Filed under: Jatropha curcas
Lineage: Eukaryota; Viridiplantae; Streptophyta; Magnoliopsida; Malpighiales; Euphorbiaceae
Rfam family: tRNA
About the family: Transfer RNA (tRNA) molecules are approximately 80 nucleotides in length. Their secondary structure includes four short double-helical elements and three loops (D, anti-codon, and T loops).
Source: Rfam by way of RNAcentral